Drosophila persimilis is the source of this 651-nucleotide long non-coding RNA. RefSeq lists it as uncharacterized. The transcript is spliced from 3 exons. The record is from RefSeq and is a predicted model, not a curated record. Lineage: Eukaryota; Metazoa; Arthropoda; Insecta; Diptera; Drosophilidae.
CGGUAGAAAGAGAGUUGAUUCCAAUCUCACCAUGAAAUGUCUAUUUUGAGAAAUUAUUAAUAGGAUACAGCCAGGCUCUGUUUUUCACUUACUUUUGCGAACAGCUGACCUGGCACAGAACUAGGCCCAUUUGGCUGCGGUUUUACCGCGUAUCGGUGAAGCAAAAUAUUAUGGAGCACACUCGACAUUUGACCUUGCACCAUCGAACCGUUAAACGCAUUAAACGAAUGACAAUUGCUUAUGCAGCUAGAUGGUGAUAGCUGCGAUUCAACUGGGAUGCGCAGUCGGACCAAGAUGGUAGCUUAUCGUAAUCCAGUUGCUCUUCGAACCGAGACUUCGUUGUGGGAAUUAUCAUCGCGCUAGUUAUGUCUUUCUCACUUCCUUACGACUGCAGAGAGGAAUAGAUGGCUGACACCGUGUCAAUGAUGUACCUAAGGCAUGAAGCAAAAGGAGUUGUUGUGCUGGGAAUGUCAAACAACUGCGAGACAGUAUCAGAAGAGAUCAAAUAUGUUUUGUCGUAAACCUCCUUCAAACUAUAAAGAGCUUUCUCAUAAUUGUCUGUCAAGAUUCAUACUUCUGUCCAAUCACGUUUUAACACUCACAACUUUGAUUCCGAUUUUAGGAUACCAACCCGUUUAUGUUGUUCUGUAA